This 450-nucleotide ribosomal RNA is filed under the name uncultured bacterium. RNAcentral's name for it is "partial 16S ribosomal RNA". It matches the Rfam family "Bacterial small subunit ribosomal RNA", at positions 354 to 796 of the family's 1533-position model. The record is from RNAcentral.
GUGGGGAAUCUUCCGCAAUGGACGAAAGUCUGACGGAGCAACGCCGCGUGAGUGAUGAAGGUCUUCGGAUUGUAAAGCUCUAUUAAUCGGGACGAAAGAGCCUAGUGUGAAUAAUGCUAGGAAGUGACGGUACCGGAAUAGAAAGCCACGGCUAACUACGUGCCAGCAGCCGCGGUAAUACGUAGGUGGCAAGCGUUGUCCGGAAUUAUUGGGCGUAAAGCGCGCGCAGGCGGAUCUGCCAGUCUGUCUUAAAAGUUCGGGGCUUAACCCCGUGAUGGGAUGGAAACUACAGAUCUAGAGUAUCGGAGAGGAAAGUGGAAUUCCUAGUGUAGCGGUGAAAUGCGUAGAUAUUAGGAAGAACACCAGUGGCGAAGGCGACUUUCUGGACGAAAACUGACGCUGAGGCGCGAAAGCCAGGGGAGCGAACGGGAUUAGAAACCCGGGUAGUCC